This 464-nucleotide ribosomal RNA is filed under the name Vreelandella stevensii. RNAcentral's name for it is "partial 16S ribosomal RNA". It matches the Rfam family "Bacterial small subunit ribosomal RNA", at positions 338 to 795 of the family's 1533-position model. Lineage: Bacteria; Pseudomonadati; Pseudomonadota; Gammaproteobacteria; Oceanospirillales; Halomonadaceae. The record is from RNAcentral.
CCUACGGGUGGCAGCAGUGGGGAAUAUUGGACAAUGGGGGAACCCUGAUCCAGCCAUGCCGCGUGUGCGAAGAAGGCCCUCGGGUUGUAAAGCACUUUCAGUGAGGAAGAACGCCUGGUGGUUAAUACCCAUCAGGAAAGACAUCACUCACAGAAGAAGCACCGGCUAACUCCGUGCCAGCAGCCGCGGUAAUACGGAGGGUGCGAGCGUUAAUCGGAAUUACUGGGCGUAAAGCGCGCGUAGGUGGCUUGAUAAGCCGGUUGUGAAAGCCCCGGGCUCAACCUGGGAACGGCAUCCGGAACUGUCAAGCUAGAGUGCAGGAGAGGAAGGUAGAAUUCCCGGUGUAGCGGUGAAAUGCGUAGAGAUCGGGAGGAAUACCAGUGGCGAAGGCGGCCUUCUGGACUGACACUGACACUGAGGUGCGAAAGCGUGGGUAGCAAACAGGAUUAGAUACCCCUGUAGUC